This 559-nucleotide ribosomal RNA is filed under the name uncultured bacterium. RNAcentral describes it as "bacterial SSU rRNA". It matches the Rfam family "Bacterial small subunit ribosomal RNA", at positions 777 to 1328 of the family's 1533-position model. The record is from RNAcentral.
AAUAGAUACCCCGGUAGUCCACGCCGUAAACGAUAGAGUGCUAAGUGUUAGGGGGGUUUCCGCCCCUUAGUGCUGCAGCUAACGCAUUAAGCACUCCGCCUGGGGAGUACGGUCGCAAGACUGAAACUCAAAGGAAUUGGACGGGGGCCCGCACAAGCGGUGGAGCAUGUGGUUUAAUUCGAAGCAACGCGAAGAACCUUACCAGGUCUUGACAUCCCAUUGACCACUAUGGAGACAUAGUUUUCCCUUCGGGGACAACGGUGACAGGUGGUGCAUGGUUGUCGUCAGCUCGUGUCGUGAGAUGUUGGGUUAAGUCCCGCAACGAGCGCAACCCUUGUUCUUAGUUGCCAUCAUUUAGUUGGGCACUCUAAGGAGACUGCCGGUGACAAACCGGAGGAAGGUGGGGGAUGACGUCAAAUCAUCAUGCCCCUUAUGACCUGGGCUACACACGUGCUACAAUGGACGGUACAAACGGGUUGCCAACCCGGCGAGGGGGAGCUAAUCCGAUAAAACCGUUCUCAGUUCGGAUUGUAGGCUGCAACUCGCCUACAUGAAGGCC